UAGCCGUAAACGAUACUCGCUAGGUGUCGGCCACGGUGCGACCGUUGUCGGUGCCGUAGGGAAGCCGUGAAGCGAGCCACCUGGGAAGUACGGCCGCAAGGCUGAAACUUAAAGGAAUUGGCGGGGGAGCACAACAACGGGUGGAGCUUGCGGUUUAAUUUGGAUUCAACGCCGGAAAUCUUACCGGGACCGACAGCAACAUGAAGGCCAAGCUGAAGACUUUGCCGGAUUAGCUGAGAGGUGGUGCAUGGCGUAGUCGUGU
RNAcentral lists this ribosomal RNA (262 nucleotides) under uncultured archaeon. Its description in RNAcentral is "partial 16S ribosomal RNA". It matches the Rfam family "Archaeal small subunit ribosomal RNA", at positions 748 to 1009 of the family's 1478-position model. The record is from RNAcentral.